This 465-nucleotide ribosomal RNA is filed under the name uncultured bacterium. RNAcentral describes it as "partial 16S ribosomal RNA". It matches the Rfam family "Bacterial small subunit ribosomal RNA", at positions 28 to 507 of the family's 1533-position model. The record is from RNAcentral.
GACGAACGCUGGCGGCGUGCUUAACACAUGCAAGUCGAACGGAAAGGCCCUGCUUGCAGGGUACUCGAGUGGCGAACGGGUGAGUAACACGUGGGUGAUCUGCCCUGCACUUCGGGAUAAGCCUGGGAAACUGGGUCUAAUACCGGCUAGGAGCCAUUUUUAGUGUGAUGGUUGGACAGUUUUUUCGGUGUAGGAUGAGCUCGCGGCCUAUCAGCUUGUUGGUGGGGUAAUGGCCUACCGAGGCGGCGACGGGUAGCCGGCCUGAGAGGGUGGACGGCCACAUUGGGACGGAGAGACGGCCCAGACACCGACGGGAGGCAGCAGGGGGGAAGAUUGCAGAAGGGGCGCAAGCCGGAUGCAGCGAGGCCGCGGGGGGUAUGACGGCCUUCGGGUUGAAAACCCCGUUCGCUAGGGACGAAGCUUUUUGUGACGGUACCUAGACAAGAAGCAACGGCUAACUACGUG